GACGAACGCUGGCGGCGUGCUUAACACAUGCAAGUCGAGCGAGGCCCUCCUUCGGGGGGUGCCCUAGCGGCGAACGGGUGAGUAACACGUGGGCAACCUGCCCUCAGCUCUGGGAUAACUCCAAGAAAUUGGUGCUAAUACCGGAUGUGACCGCUGACCGCAUGGUCUGGUGGUGGAAAGAUUCAUCGGCUGAGGAUGGGCCCGCGGCCUAUCAGCUUGUUGGNGGGGUCACGGCCCACCAAGGCGACGACGGGUAGCCGGCCUGAGAGGGUGACCGGCCACACUGGGACUGAGAUACGGCCCAGACUCCUACGGGAGGCAGCAGUGGGGAAUAUUGCACAAUGGGCGAAAGCCUGAUGCAGCAACGCCGCGUGCGGGAUGACGGCC
This 387-nucleotide ribosomal RNA is filed under the name uncultured bacterium. RNAcentral's name for it is "bacterial SSU rRNA". It matches the Rfam family "Bacterial small subunit ribosomal RNA", at positions 28 to 416 of the family's 1533-position model. The record is from RNAcentral.